ACACCGUUGGUGAAGUGGUUAUCAUGCUUGCCUUCCACUCGGAUCAGCAAGCGGCUCGGGUUCGAUUCCCGAACGGUGUA
This is a non-coding RNA of Lentinula edodes (shiitake mushroom), 80 nucleotides long. The record is from Rfam. Lineage: Eukaryota; Fungi; Basidiomycota; Agaricomycetes; Agaricales; Omphalotaceae.